RNAcentral lists this long non-coding RNA (399 nucleotides) under Phoenix dactylifera (date palm). Its description in RNAcentral is "long non-coding RNA (PDAC_LNC009359)". The record is from RNAcentral. Lineage: Eukaryota; Viridiplantae; Streptophyta; Magnoliopsida; Arecales; Arecaceae.
GGAUGCGGUGGGAGAAAUCGCUGCUUCUUCAACGCAUGGGAGAAGAUCUUGGACGCUUGGAUAAAGUCUGGGAUGAUACGGAUGACGUGGGAGCGUGGGUCGUUGGGAAGAUGAACACGGUUGAAGCUGGGAGUCCGGGAUGCAUAGGAGAUGAACAUGGAGAAGAUACGUGGGGUGCUGGAACGCGUUCACGGAUUGGGGAGAUGAGGGAUUGAUUUGGUUUGAGGUUUUUAUUCAGCUGGGAACGGGCCAACGGCUCUGUUCUUUGGACGUGGAGGGAUUCGUGGGAUAAGAAUGAUUACAGGGGAGAUACCGUGUGAGAUUUGUUGGACUUGAAGCUGUGGAUAGGCUCGGAAGGAAUCCGUCGUGGGUGAUGAGAGAUUGGAUACGGCUGGGAAU